Coturnix japonica (Japanese quail) is the source of this 7792-nucleotide non-coding RNA. Lineage: Eukaryota; Metazoa; Chordata; Aves; Galliformes; Phasianidae. The record is from RefSeq and is a predicted model, not a curated record.
UAUAUAAUAUGUGAAUAUUCAGAAAGAUUUUUUUCCUUUCUUUUUGUUGUUGUUGAUUGUGAUUGAUAACAUUAAGAGAAGAAAAUAUUAUCCUGAAAGUAUAAAUGAGGGUGUAAAUGCUGGCAUAUUUUCUCAGGCAAAGUUGCCAUUAAAAUCUGGCUGAAGCAGUAGAGCAGCAGUUGUUUAGCCAUUAGAAUGAUAUGAGUGUUUGAAAGAGCUCUGACUAGCUUAGUAUUAUGCCACCUUAAGCCACUGGCAUUGGUGUUUAAGAACUAUAGCUGACAGGCAGACAGUUGGGCUGGAUGAUCUUGCAGGUCUUUUCCAACCUUCAUGAUUCUAUUAUUCUAUUCUCCCAUCAGUUCUGGCUAUGAUCUUAUUAUCCUACAUGAUAACUGUCACCCUGACCUUGACAGAUCAUUGGAGAAAGGAAAAGUUUUUAUGAGAAAUGCAAGAGAAGAUGGCGUUGAGCUGGAAGAGUGCGAUGGAACUUAAGAUAUUUGGACAGACCCAGCCACAGGAGAUGAAGCUUAAUUUCCCAUGUCUCAAGACAAUUCAUCUUCACGCAGUGCAGUCCAGGCAAGCCACAAGACUGGGAACCCAUGUUUUAGAGCUUGGCUCGCUAUUCUUGGUGACCUUGUUCAGCAAUGGUGUGCUCCUCUAAUGGCUGACUUCUGUUCGUUCCUUUUCAGACCCAGAAUCCUGCUAGCAACCUUCUCAAAACACUGGAGUGCUGCAUGUUUGAAGCAGACAGUGCUUGGCCAUGCAGAGCAAUCCCAAACAGGGCAUCAAGAGAUACUCAGCCCUGCAAAGCUGCACGUGGAGCAGAACUUGCUGCUGCUGCUUUCCAUAUGUUCCUUCCCAUGGGGCCCUGGCUGGACCUCGACCUGAGGAAGAAGCAGAAUGGAAACUUAAUGGAGAAGCGAGUCCCACCUCUCAGAACAAAGAUUGGGCUGAGUGAGGAAUUGUGUUCCAGUUGCCUGGUAUGAAGCAGCAUAGGAGCAAUGACAACAUGUCAAGUCAAAAGUCUGAUUCCAUGAGCUACACUUUGGUCCUAUCAAGACAGGCAGGCAGAUGCAUGAGAGGUGGAAAGAGAGAAAAUGAUUGAGAUGAAAUCACCACCAACAACUAUUGCAGGCAGCAAAGCAGCAUUGGAUCCCAGCCACAAUACUUCUGCAACCAGGUGUGAAUGAGCCUGAUGGGAUGUUAUUAUGGAAUCUACACUGAAAAAGGUGCUCCUAUCACAACUCUUCAGACAUUCCUGUCAUGGCCACUUGAGAGCUUCAUUGAGGAAUGGCAGCAACUGAAAGAAACCAAGCAGAACCAGAUGGGAUGGGUAGAGAAAAAAGGUUGUAUUGAGGCAAGGCUUUGAUUGCAUGGUUAUGGUGGCGGGGGAUGCCUGGUGCUUGAUUACGCUUGUUUCUUCUGAGGCAUACAGCUGUGUUUGUGGGAAAUGACAGUGCUCAUCUGAACAGGGUUUGCAUUCAACACAUGCGACAGGGAGCAGUGGUUUCUGUAAGCUGUUAGCUGGCCACAUGACUGAGCCAGGCAGGGGGAUUAGUUACCCACUACCCCAAGUCAGAUCCAUCAGUGGGAUGCAGUUACAACCUGGGUCAUGGCUGAGCUUUCUGCCUCAAGUUGGCUGAAGCAGUCCCCUGGUUGGAGAUAACCUCCAUUCAGUGUUCCUCAGAGGUAAAUCAGGGAGCCAAGACCUAAAACAGGAUAUGAUGGGUAGAACUCAAUGCCAAAAUGUAGAGAUCUGAGGUACCUGAGUUGCUGGCACAAGGCUGGUAGAAUAGGAGAGACCUAGAGCAUCUAAAAGAGACAUCCAGGUUUAGGAAUUAAAUUUCUUCUACUAUUUCCGAUGUUCUGCCUUUGUGUUUAGUGGGGAAUCGUGUUUUAAAUUUGGGAUGCUAUGAGCUGUAGCCCUGUACUGGUGCCAUACUGCAACAGGUGGACUCCUUCUUGAACUGAGCACAGGCCCCAGCAACACUGGCUGCUACUGCUAUUCCACGCUGGGAGUGAAUCUUCCCAGAUGGUGCUGCUCUCAUUCUCAGCCUCUUCAUUUCUUUCUCUGAGCCUUUAGUCUAUUAGUUCCACUUGCUCCUCUGUCUGUCCCAUAUUCUCCUUUGUUUUAGAUUUCCUGGUUGUCUAACAGGCCUGUUUGCUGCUGCUGGAGAAAUACGGCUGGGGAGUCAAGAGCCAAGUAUUUUUGAUAACUGUGAAGUUAUGGCCAGGAAAUGCAGUGGAGAAACUGAAUGACCUAAUAGGGAAAAUGAAUGUAGUGCUUGAAAAGAUGGGCAUGUGGAUGUACCUGUUUGUGCAGGUAGAUCUCCAUGUAUUUGGAUAUAGAUAAGCCAGAAUCUACAUUAAGAGAAUGUCACAAACUUUAGAAAUUCAAGCACUGAAAUACAGUUUAAUUCACACAUUAAAAAUGGGUAAAAGGGGAUUUCAGAUAUUCUCUGUGUACUUUAAGUAGCCAGUAACAACGUGAUGGCAGUUCUAAGUAAAGGGCCUUAAUCAGAGUAUAUAAAAAGCCUGAUGAUGUUUGAAAAACAGGUCCAACUCCCAAGCAUUUUCUCUUUCCCACUAUCAAUGACACUCAUUGUGCAAUAACAACAUUUGCACAGAGAUAUGUCUUGUUUUGUGCACAGAGAAUGUAUCGAAGCAGUCAUAGGGCUGCACUAGCCUUGGCUAAAAACAUCCCCAAGGGCCCGUCUGCCAGCUGCUGACUGAUGUAGAACCACCACUGCUGAUAAUAGGGUACAUGUGCUGGCUUUGAGCUGAACUAGGCAAUCUGGGGCACAGUUAGAUGUGCUCAACAAGGAUCAAGUUCAAACCUGUUUAAGAAGUUAGUUCCUGUCAGCGGUGAUUUAAGCUAAGUAGUUUUUCUGUGGAUUAGGAAGGACGAGAAACGCUCACACAGUCAGCUACUUCAUCUUGGCUGUCACAGCGGUGAUUUCAACACAGCCAGGGGAGUCAGAAAGACAACAGCUGAGAUCUGUAACUUCCUAAAUCACACAGGCACAAGCUGCUGAAGGUGUUUUUUUCCAUUAGAUGUUUGUUUGCUUGUAUGUAGCAGAAUUAUGCUGCCUACUUUUCUUCUUGCAGGUAAAUGGAAUCAAGAAGUGCCUAGACUUUGAAGACGUAGAUCAUUGUCCAAGACUGGGAAAAGCUGCUAUUGACUGAAUGUUGCUGAUCCAUUCAGGAGCUCAGCUGCAGCAGGAGUAGUGUCAGUGUGGCACCCAAGAGGAAUAUAACCACGACUGCAGAUUUAACUUUGUUGAAGUCUUUAGGAGAGGGAUUAAAAUCUGUGUUCACAGGCUGAGAGCAGGUGUCUGCGAUGAGAUCCCAUGCUGUGACAUGCAUGCAGCACAUUCUUACAUGAAAAGCCCUGGCUGAUGAAAUGACCACAGGAAGAUAACACAGAACCCUCCUGGCAGGAUCAGAAGAAGCUUAAUUAAGCUCUGUGGUUAAUGUUAAAGUCCUUUUGUCAGAAGCAUAACAAGGAACUUCAGUCUGGCUUUCAAAAGUGCUGAACACCCAAAUCUCCUACUGAGGUCUCUGUGAAUCACAGAGGGGGCUGAUACUGCUGACCAUUGAUGCAGAUACAUAGGAAAGAGGUUAAAGGAUCAGAUGAACCAAUUUUUUCUGAGAACAACUGAACAAAAUCUGGGACUCUCUAUAUUUAUGGGAGAGUACAGUCUGCCUAGAAUCCUGCACAGCUCCAAGAACAGAGGUGCUGUCAUGCUUCCCCAGGGAAGAUCAGGCAGGACAUCUACAGUGGGACAGUGAUGUUCCUUACUGAAUAUAAGCAGAAUCCUGCUACCUAGUCAAAGCAAAGCUGAGCAUCUGAAGGCCUGGGCCCCCAGUUACUUUUAGUUUGAAAGUGAAUCCAUCAACUUGGAGAUGUGGCCUGGAGCAGUGGCAAUACAGAGGCUGCAUGCUAGGAAGAGCAGCCAGAAAGUAUCUUCACAUGCAGUGCAUCCUGCAGUCCCACACUUGAAACACUUCCAAGGCUGGACAUAGACCCAUCUGUCCAGGAAGUGGAGAAAUCCCUUGGCCAGACCGUGGUGGAUCCUCCAGACCCAGCCUCUGUCCCAUGGCUUCUCCCCAGCACAGCAUUCAUUUCUGCUGCAGAGAUGCAGGUAUCUGAGCACAAGCUACAUCCGUGAAAGGCUAGUUACGGUGCCAGGAGAACAUGUCCAAUCGCCUCUUAAUAAAAGGAUGAUAAAGAGAAGGCCAGACACUUCCAAGGAAACUCCUUAAUGAGGACUUGUCCUACUUUCAUACGACACAGACCCAUGGCCAAGGAAAACUACGCCAAGAUUUCCAAGCUUGCAGACGCCACCGCUGCAACAUCUGAUCGGAACAACUGCUACCAUCCGGAGUUCAGCACAUCUGAACUGGCAAACCAGCUGACUGAUCCCCACUCACGUAAGCCAGACAGCUUGCUUAUUACUAACAGCUUUAGCUGGAACAGUUACUUAAUUAAGUAAAAAUGCCUUGACCAGUCCCUUCACUGCAGGAAGCCAAGACCAAAAAGACUAAGAAAAGUCAUUGUGAAUCCAAAUGAAAACCUGCCAUGUCUUUUCCUUUGCUUUUCAGUUUCCAAUGCAGAUUCACUUCCUGAUGAGUCAUGAAAUGUGCACAGCACAUCUGUAUGAAAUAAGUUGUUUCUUCUGACCAUCCCCUUCUACAUCUCCUCCCUCACCCCUACACCUCAUUCUUGUUUCUAGACCUUACUCACCAAACCUUUCAGAGAAAGAAAGAAGUGAAGAACUUAGAACUUUUCAUGCCCAUUGGUGCUGUUAUGACAUUAUGAACAUUGGUGUGGAUUCGACCUACAGCUUCAGCCCAGGACUGUGAGCCUUAUCUCUGACUGGUGACAUGAGCAAUCUCCUUGCCACAACAGGGGGAAAAACACCAAACAAGUGGAGGUUAAACAUUUGAAGAGUACCAAGAAAUGCCUCAAGUUACAUCCCCAGCCUGGACUUUUGUCCCACGGGAAUGCUCCCAAGCACCCUCCUCCUGGUACAUAAAAAAAGGAUGGUUACAUAGAGAAAGCUGGGUGAGCUGUCAUAAGAGGUGCUACCAGAGCUUUGUUUGUUGUGUGAAGCAUGAGGGCUUACUUCUGGCCUAGGAAGUAGAGUUUAGCUGCAAGUUUAUCCUGCUACAGUGCUAAAAUAUUUCCCUCCUGGACACUUUCAUCUCUUUAUUUUUUAUUAAGUGCCAUGCCUCUGCCACCUUGCUGCUGCCUGCUGCUCUUUUCUCUGACAGUUCUUUUAUUCCAGCCUCUCUUUUCACUUUUGUCUUUGCUCAUUUGUUUUUCUCUUGGACAUUUUGUACAGCGUGCUGUCAUGUACCAUCAUGUUUUAUCCUCUCUCAGCUCUACAUAGACUCCAGACAGUAUUUGUAAGCUUCCCUGGCAAUUGUCCUGGAGCAGUGUUUCCAUACUAGCACUUCCUUAGUUCUUUGUCCCUACCCAACUAUGGGAAUUUGUUUGCAUUUGCACUAAGCAUAGACAUUCUAUUGUAAAGAUGUUAUCCCACAACUAUGUGAAGUUCCUAACACUGUUUGCAUCAUCUGAAAGACUGCAUUCUUCAAAGACAAAAUGAGAGCCUGCUGGCUGAUUACACUGACUGAUAACACAGCAAACUCAAGAACUCUAAAAAAGAAAAUAAUAAUCUAUGUGGGUUAGUUCAUGACCCUGACAAGACUUUAGUCUAUGUCAUAGUCAUAGAAUGGCCUGGGUUGGAAGGAACCUCAAAGAUAAUCUUGUAAUCCCUGUCUUCAGUCUACUACUGAUCUAAGCAUAAAGGAAUUGUCAGACUUGUGUUACCUAAUGGCAAUCUACCUUUUCAGAGAUAGAUAUAAGGAAGCACAUACUACCUUGGCAGCAUACUAUUUAGCAGGAGAAAACUGACACUCUCAUGUGGAAUAUGUGUGAUCUCUCUUAACACAGGCAAUACUGCAGCUUCUCCCAGUUGAUUCACACUUUCAACCUUUUUGAAUUUACUCAGGAAUCAAUUUGGUGGAGAAAUUCUGAUGCUCCUGAAAAUCCUACUCAUUGCAUAUAAAGGUUUAACUCAUUGUCUAUGGCAGGGCUGAAUAUCAAGAUGCUUAUGGACACUGCCAAGUCUCUACUUCUUAUGUCACCUCAGAUUCUUUAGUUCAUCCAAGGCUCAGAGGAAGCAUCUCAUUCACUUUUUGCAAUAUCAUAUUGCCCACACCCAAAGUCUGACUCUUGGCUGUUUUGUUUUUUUUCUUCUCAUAAAGCAGCAGCCAGAACCUUCCCUGCAGCCUCUAAUGUCUCUAUCAGACAGGGCUAUUCUGCAGACCAUACCGCAGACAUGGAUAUCUGUUCUGUGCAGGGGAUAGCUCUGCUUUAGAGGGCACACCAGCUGCAGUUUCUACUGCAAUACCUUACUUGCUUUUGUUCAUAACUUUAUGACUGUUUAACUGUUUGAACUGAAUUAUUGAACAGACUGUUUUUCAUUUCCUCUUACCACCCAAACCGAAGCAUAUGGGAAAAUCUCAACUACAAUAUUUCACUCUUUUUCUAGAAAUUCAGGCCAAAAUCAAGGAAAAUUGUUUGUUUAGGAAAAAGAAAAAACAUCCUAGAACCUUCAUUAAGAUGAUUUAACAUUCUGCUACCUGGAAAUAGACAUCUGCUUUCAAAAUGCUACUAUGUGUCUUCUUUGUCAUUUUUGUGGACAUUUUCCCAUAUCUGACAAAUUACAUAUAUUUUAAAUAAAAAUCUCUGUAUGUUUGUUCAUGUCUGGAGAAGACUUGUUGAAGUUGAGGAACUAAAGUAUCUGAGGAAUCCAAUUUUCAGACUCUUCCCGUGAGGACAUUCCAUCUUCUCAUGCUUGAGGACCAAAUUGUAUGAUCUUGCUAUCAAGUGACUUGACAUGUUUUAGCCAGCAGUAAAACACAGUCCUUCCUUGCUGAAGCAUUACCAUCACUGGAACAUAAUGCCAGGAAAUUUUCUCUUUUAAUUCCCAGUUCUCCAUCUGCUCAUGCCAAAAAGAAAGAGUGAAUGGGAUGAGUUGGAAUAUCAAAUGAAAUAAUUCAAAUGAAAGCAAUAUUUGCUAACAUAGCAUCAAGUACUGUGACUUUAUGAUGCUGAUGGUGAUAGGGAUUAAGCUCCCUUCCAACCCAAACCAUUCUAGGAUUCUGUGAGAUGUGGCCCCUUUGUGCUCUGCACUCCUGAUUCAAUAUUUAAUAAUAAAAAUCAAUGUGAAUCCUCUGUGCUCCUGAAGAGCUAACUAUUGCUAAAAACAGUGUGCCAAAUAUUCUUCUUCCAUGCAGCCCCACUGAUGUGCCAGGGAUGCAAAGACAGGGUUCGACAAUAAGAGACUGCCACAGUGUAAAGCAUGAGUGGGAUCCAGAGCAUUAAAAAGCAAGGUUAUGAUUUCUCAACAUGAAAAGUCUGAAGGAGGAUUCCUGUUCAGAGUGAUUUCAUUUUAGAUGGGAAACAAAUGGAACAGAAGACUGCACAUCUCUGUAAAGUGCUGUAGUAGUUUGGCAUGAUAGAGUGGCAGCUGGGGACUUGGAGAUACACUCUUUGGAAAGGUAAAGGUAUAGACAAAAUGAAGUCAUAUUAGGCACAGAACCAUCUAUCUUUCAGCAACGGAGCUAUCUCUCCCUAAUGUAUGUCACAUUUACUCAAGAGUGGGAGAAAACACUCUUCAGAUUCUGUAGUAUUUAUGGGACACACUGAUAUAAAUUGUACCUCAGAACUUGCCCCAUAAAACAAGGGGUGACACUGAUAUAAAGUUGAUUUUCUUGA